GGGCAAGCGUUGCUCGGAAUCACUGGGCGUAAAGGGCGCGUAGGCGGUGCGGUAAGUCACCUGUGAAAUCUCCUGGCUCAACUGGGAGCUUGCAGGCGAAACUGCCGUGCUGGAGUGUGGGAGAGGUGAGUGGAAUUCCCGGUGUAGCGGUAAAAUGCGUAGAUAUCGGGAGGAACACCUGUGGCGAAAGCGGCUCACUGGACCACAACUGACGCUGAGGCGCGAAAGCUAGGGGAGCAAACAGG
This 245-nucleotide ribosomal RNA is filed under the name uncultured bacterium. Its description in RNAcentral is "partial 16S ribosomal RNA". It matches the Rfam family "Bacterial small subunit ribosomal RNA", at positions 532 to 776 of the family's 1533-position model. The record is from RNAcentral.